GACUUCUGCGUAAGCACGGUGCUAAAACCGCAGAAACGAGGAUCACAGCCCGGCUUGGUAAUGAAGCUAGCAGGGCGCACACAAGAACAGAAGUGACUGCACUAGAUUGUACAGACUGGGGUGGACCUCUUUCUUCACGUCCAGUGUCCUUUGUCUUAAGAUGUAUGCAGCAUGU
Phyllostomus discolor (pale spear-nosed bat) is the source of this 175-nucleotide small nucleolar RNA. RefSeq annotates it as small nucleolar RNA SNORA81. The record is from RefSeq and is a predicted model, not a curated record. The transcript has a single exon. Lineage: Eukaryota; Metazoa; Chordata; Mammalia; Chiroptera; Phyllostomidae.